This 72-nucleotide transfer RNA is filed under the name Schistosoma japonicum. RNAcentral's name for it is "tRNA-OTHER". The record is from RNAcentral. Lineage: Eukaryota; Metazoa; Platyhelminthes; Trematoda; Strigeidida; Schistosomatidae.
GACUAAGUGGUCCAAUGGUAGAGCGUUCGUCGUGGAGCGAAAGGGUCCUUGGUUCAACCGCAGGUGGGGUCG